Pelobates cultripes (western spadefoot toad) is the source of this 225-nucleotide non-coding RNA. The record is from the annotation of a GenBank genome assembly. Lineage: Eukaryota; Metazoa; Chordata; Amphibia; Anura; Pelobatidae.
AAAUAAUUCAGUAAUCAAGAAAAUACUAGCCCACAAACUUUCUAGAUUCCAGGUUAUCUUCUUAGCUGCUCACUCGGGAGCAACUAAAAAGGGUCUGAUCAGUUUUCAGAUGAUCCAUUGUUAAAAAUGAUUUUAGUACCAAACAUGCAGAAGGUGGCUUACCUCUCAGGUGUGACCUGUCAUUUGAGUGAUUUCGGUGGAUUCCCCAAACACAGAUAAAUCACC